CAACCCUCAAGCCCUGCUUGGUGUUGGGGCCCUAUAGUUGAUAUAGGCCCUGAAAAUCAGUGGCGGGCUCGCUAUAACUCCGAGCGUAGUACAUACCUCGCUUAGGGCGUUUUAGUGGGAUCCAGUCUCUCUUUUAAACUUCAA
RNAcentral lists this unclassified non-coding RNA (144 nucleotides) under uncultured Coniochaetales. RNAcentral describes it as "sequence contains ITS2". The record is from RNAcentral. Lineage: Eukaryota; Fungi; Ascomycota; Sordariomycetes; Coniochaetales.